GUGAAUCAUCGAAUUUUUGAACGCACAUUGCACUCUCUGGGAAUCGUAUGCCUGUUUGAGGUUGAGUAUUAAUUAAAAUCUGAAUGUUGCUUCUUUGUGACGUGCCGGUGUUUGUGUCAUCUUUAGAUCCUUUAGGUUUUAAGUGGCUGAAAAUUGACUUUUUUUGCGCAUUAUAGAUGUACAUAAAUUCUUUUUUUAUUCGUCUGUCUUAAUGCUCAAUAUCCUAUUAGAUGCGACCAUAUCGUGUAGGUACGUGUCUAUAAAUUUUUCAUGAUUAUACGUCAAAUCAGGUAGG
Molecule: unclassified non-coding RNA, 295 nt
Filed under: Glomeraceae sp.
Lineage: Eukaryota; Fungi; Glomeromycota; Glomeromycetes; Glomerales; Glomeraceae
Description: partial internal transcribed spacer 2
Source: RNAcentral